Molecule: long non-coding RNA, 1177 nt
Filed under: Marmota monax (woodchuck)
Lineage: Eukaryota; Metazoa; Chordata; Mammalia; Rodentia; Sciuridae
Source: RNAcentral
UCUGAUGUGUAUAAGAGACAGCAUCUGGGAAAUUCCAUUGAAAGGCCCACAGCUCUCAAUAGCCCCACAGCCGUCUGUCGCUGCAGGAGGCUCAAACCCAGUGACUCUGGGCCCCUUGCAUUAAAAUAAUUACCGGACAGAACAGGUGGCCAGCUCCCAGUCCUGGCACAUCUGGGCCCCACUGCCACCAGAGGAAGAGAACUGCACCGUGGGCCCAGAGAAGGGAAAGUCAGGCUGGUUGGCAGGAGCCAGGGAGGAAAGCAGGUCUUUUCCGAGCUUGUGGCUGGUCACUGAGUCUCUGCACCCUGCUGGUGCAGACCGGAGGAAGGAGGAUGCUGCCCUAUUCCCGGAGCAGAUGAGAGCAGCUAGCACACCACUGGGGCCUCACAGAUUCAGGGCCAGGGCAGAACCUUGAACUCACACCAGGCUCCCAGGUUGGAGGUGUACACACAGAACCAGACUUUGGGCCAAAAACUUGCAGGAGAGGGUAACAGCCAUGCUCUCAGGCUUGGAGGUCAGCUCCCGAGACUGCAUGGUCGCAUUGAGAGCCUGGGUGUGUUGUGUGUUGUGUGUGCAGGGUGGCUCCCAAUUCUCCCGACCAUGCGAAUUUCCAGGACUGGCCGUGAGGAAAGGACCGGACCCUUACGGAGGUCUCCACUGUGCGGCUAAAAAGAGCGACGCAGCCCAGGCAUAGGGCCAAGCCUAUUGCCAAAAACACAUAUUACACUGAGACAUUCUGUAAAUGAGAUAAUGAUACAUAAACCCGGAUGAUAGAUGUGACGUGCCUGGAUGUCUUCUCUAGAUUAGCUGCUCGCAUCGACUGCUAAUAAUGGUGAGUUUAUGAAAGCAAUUUCAGUGCAAACUGCGAGAGGGUCUUCUCACUCUAAUCAGCCUGCCGCAGCUAAUGGACGAGGGGGUCAGGCUGAGAGUUAUUGACACGCCUGUGCCCUUAACCUGUUUCCCAAUAAAGCUGAUUAGUUUUCGUCAAUUCAUCAGCUAACCACUCUUGCUGGGACUGCAUCAAAGCCGUAUUUGCUCAGGGGAAAUCAACAAGUCACAGAUCAGCUCCAUUAAGGGGCCCGGCUGGCCAGAACUGCCCUGGGGCCGAGGGACACUGGUGGACUUCACCCCACAUCCCAGAGCACCCAGAGUGGCUGACAGCUGGGGACCCUGAAAC